UACGAAGGGUGCUAGCGUUGUUCGGAAUUACUGGGCGUAAAGCGCACGUAGGCGGCUUUCUAAGUCGGGGGUGAAAUCCUGGAGCUCAACUCCAGAACUGCCUUCGAUACUGGAGAGCUUGAGUCCGGGAGAGGUGAGUGGAACUGCGAGUGUAGAGGUGAAAUUCGUAGAUAUUCGCAAGAACACCAGUGGCGAAGGCGGCUCACUGGCCCGGUACUGACGCUGAGGUGCGAAAGCGUGGGGAGCAAACAGG
RNAcentral lists this ribosomal RNA (253 nucleotides) under uncultured bacterium. RNAcentral describes it as "partial 16S ribosomal RNA". It matches the Rfam family "Bacterial small subunit ribosomal RNA", at positions 524 to 776 of the family's 1533-position model. The record is from RNAcentral.